CAGUUGUCACCUGAUCCGAGUCUCCAGAGUGUCCUUCUCAAUCUCUGGUGAGUGGUGGCACAAGGCUCCGCCAGGCGGAGGGCACCCAGUGGAAAAUUCCCAGCUCCAGUCACCUUAACGAAGAGAGGCACUCUCGCCUCUCCUGUGGCUCGGAGGUUUCCAGGGAGAAACGGGAGGAGGAAAGCAAAUGCUUCAGGCCGCUGCCUCGGCCUGGACAGUGGUGCGUGUGACCGGAGCUGGGAGGAGACGGGUGACCCACAUAGCCCUGGUCCGAAGGCAUAAGCAUCAAAAAUCGCAGAACGGAGUCGGCCCACGAGCGCCUGAGCUUUCUCCGUGGAAAACGUGCUCCUAUUUAUGAUGCUGACACAGCCAACUCGGCUGCCCCGGCUUUCACUUAUUCAUUCAACAACCGUCUCGUAAGCGUCUGCCACGUGCUGGCCGUGGACUAGCUGGGCAGGGUAUGUCUAGAAACAGCUCUGGCAAACCGGUGGAGGGCUGAGAACCACUCUGUGCCGUGACCUGAAGUCCCACGCAAGGAGCAACGGUGAACCCCAGCUCAUUUGGGUGAGAUGAAAAUGUGAGGAAGAAGGUUCAACAGACAGUAAUCAAAGUGACAUAGUGACCGAUGAGAAAAAGAUUCUGACUGGAAAAACACCGUUCUAAUAAUGUGCUCCGGGUCAUAGCAACUAAUUAAGAAAAGGGCAGAAAAAGACAUUCAAGCGAUGCAGAAGGCCGUUCACAAGUGCUCGGACACAAUUCAUUUACUAAAAAGGCUUUAGUAGCACAAAAACGUUUCUAAGCUAUGGUUCCCGGGGCAGCUGGAACAAGGCUCUUUUCAUAAACUUGGGCUAAUUUCGGCACAGAGCAGCCCCAAUCCGAAUUCUUCCUCUGGGCCACAGCCUCCUUUGGACACACAGACGGUGCCAUGCGAUCAGGCCAACACCGCACACGGGCACCUGGGUCGGUGGAUGGUUUCCCCGCAGUAUGAUCAAUAAUGCUUCCUAAAAUAGGUCUCAGAAGCUGAGCCUAAAAUAGUUUCAAUUUCUCCCAGUUCCUUCUUGUUUCAAUUCACAGGGUGGUCUCUGGGAACUAGAGCUGAUGGUUUUCUCUGAAGUUGACAAAUUGGUAUUUCGCCUGGAAGCCGCCACGGGCUCGCUUUGGGCCAGCCUUCAGGAGCCCCAGUGUUUGGGGGUUCGCCCCAUCAAGGUGACUCUGAUCCCCUGUCCUUCCCUGAACCUUUUUUUGAGCCUCAACAGUGAAUCCUUUGCACAAAGUGGCAGAGUUCCUGACAGAGAAAAAUGACUAGUACCUGCCUUUGCCCUCAGAAGCUACCAGCUUGGCCUCGAGGGAAGAGAAUAAAAGCAGCGGAGACAGAUGGCUUGCUGAAGCCCGCGUGGUGGGGUGGCCACACUGGGAAGUCAAGACACAAUGGGGAGAGCUGGGAGACGGCUGCCAGCAGCUCAGCUCUAGAGGCCAGAGAGUUUCCGCCUCUUGUUCGCCAAACAAGCGCCCCUGAGGUACUUCAGGGCCUUGUGUCUCCUUCCAGCUCAUUCCUGGCAUGCCUCUCUGGGCCAAACAAUGGAAUGGGCAUCAGCCCAAAACCGCUUCAGAAUCAUGAUAGAUUGCAUCUACUGUCAGAAAAAACAAAAUAAAGGAACAAAUUGUUA
This is a long non-coding RNA of Leopardus geoffroyi (Geoffroy's cat), 1667 nucleotides long. RefSeq lists it as uncharacterized. The record is from RefSeq and is a predicted model, not a curated record. The transcript has 2 exons. Lineage: Eukaryota; Metazoa; Chordata; Mammalia; Carnivora; Felidae.